This is a long non-coding RNA of Vespula pensylvanica (western yellowjacket), 879 nucleotides long. RefSeq lists it as uncharacterized. The transcript has 2 exons. The record is from RefSeq and is a predicted model, not a curated record. NCBI's taxonomy places the organism in Eukaryota, Metazoa, Arthropoda, Insecta, Hymenoptera, Vespidae.
UCAAAACAAAUUAGGAAGGGCAAAAGGCCACCGAGAAGGAAGCAUACGUGUCUCGAGAAGGAGAAGGAGAAGGAGAAGGGAGGGGGGAAAGAGAAAGAUCACGAGUCGAUAUUCUCCAAAGGAUCAUAACAAAUUCGGGUGCGAGCCUAACCGACAGUGAGGAAGGAGCUACGCUUUCAAACCGGAGCAACCAAGAGUUGCUUGCAAUAUUAAGCGAGCUUUCGCUAGGGCUCGUAAUUAAAGCACUGAAUUAUUCGUCGACUUGUUAAAGCUGGUGCGAACGUCGUUAGUACUGACGACUGGCCUCCAACAUAAAUACCGACUUAACGUUCCUGAAUUAUACGUCCUACUGUACUUCGUUGGAGGAAGAUCGUUCGAUUUUUAUGAUAAAACUCUCUGGAAAGUCGAUAACUGGCCGCAGGCUGAGGAGAAAGUUGCUUAUGAAAUUUCGAGGAGCCAGAGCGACCAAGGUAUCUUGCGAGGACAUGGAAGAUCCUUUAGGAGGAUAAUGGCUUAGCGAAGGGCGCUUUUGGAUGGGAUGGUUGGUGCCUGGUGGGUAAGGCUUGAGUUGAGUUGCUUCAAGAAGGAUAGUUAAAGUUGCCGUGCUCGUUCAUGGGGCCCGGUCUACAUAAAUAGCACUUGUGUCCAGAGUAAAAAGAGAGAAAGAGAAAAAAAAAGAGUUCAAAAUUGCUCGGCCGAUCACAAUCGAUACUUUUUCUUUCUUUUUCUCUUUCCAGUUAUUUAGUGAUUAAAAUGAAGGAUUACGUACUUAACCUACAUACGUACGUGAGCUCGAUUGCUUUUCGUUGCAACUUUUCGACAAAAACGAUUGUAUUUAUUUGAAAUAAAAAUUAAUAGCCCGUUCAUUCCGAUCAGAAA